Molecule: ribosomal RNA, 477 nt
Filed under: uncultured bacterium
Lineage: Bacteria
Description: partial 16S ribosomal RNA
Rfam family: Bacterial small subunit ribosomal RNA
Source: RNAcentral
AACAAACGCUGGCGGCGUGCCUAAUACAUGCAAGUCGAACGGGGAAAGCUUUCGGGCGAGUACUAGUGGCGCACGGGUGAGUAACACGUGGGUAAUCUUCCUCGGAGCGUGGGAUAACUAGUCGAAAGAUUAGCUAAUACCACAUAAGACCACAGAAUCUGCGGAUUCAGAGGUCAAAGUUUUUCACUCUGAGAUGAGCCCGCGCAAGAUUAGCUAGUUGGUGAGGUAAUGGCUCACCAAGGCGACGAUCCUUAGCUGGUCUGAGAGGAUGAUCAGCCACACUGGAACUGGGACACGGUCCAGACUCCUACGGGGGGCAGCAGUAGGGAAUAUUGAACAAUGGAGGAAACUCUGAUGCAGCGACGCCGCGUGAGUGAUGAAGGACUUCGGUUCGUAAAGCUCUGUCGUAUGGGAAUAAGAAAGUGAAUGUACCAUGCAAGAAAGGAUCGGCUAACUUCGUGCCAGCCGCCGCCGUAA